RNAcentral lists this ribosomal RNA (389 nucleotides) under uncultured bacterium. RNAcentral's name for it is "bacterial SSU rRNA". It matches the Rfam family "Bacterial small subunit ribosomal RNA", at positions 30 to 417 of the family's 1533-position model. The record is from RNAcentral.
AUUGAACGCUGGCGGCAUGCCUUACACAUGCAAGUCGAACGGCAGCACGGGAGCUUGCUCCUGGUGGCGAGUGGCGAACGGGUGAGUAAUACAUCGGAACGUACCCUGAAGUGGGGGAUAACGUAGCGAAAGUUACGCUAAUACCGCAUAUUCUGUGAGCAGGAAAGAGGGGGAUCGCAAGACCUCUUGCUUUAGGAGCGGCCGAUGUCGGAUUAGCUAGUUGGUGAGGUAAAGGCUCACCAAGGCGACGAUCCGUAGCGGGUCUGAGAGGAUGAUCCGCCACACUGGAACUGAGACACGGUCCAGACUCCUACGGGAGGCAGCAGUGGGGAAUUUUGGACAAUGGGGGCAACCCUGAUCCAGCCAUGCCGCGUGAGUGAAGAAGGCCU